UACGAAGGGGGCUAGCGUUGCUCGGAAUCACUGGGUGUAAAGCGCACGUAGGCGGGUUCUUAAGUCAGGGGUGAAAUCCUGGAGCUCAACUCCAGAACUGCCUUUGAUACUGGGAAUCUCGAGUCCGGGAGAGGUGAGUGGAACUGCGAGUGUAGAGGUGAAAUUCGUAGAUAUUCGCAAGAACACCAGUGGCGAAGGCGGCUCACUGGCCCGGUACUGACGCUGAGGUGCGAAAGCGCGGGGAGCAAACAGG
This 253-nucleotide ribosomal RNA is filed under the name uncultured bacterium. RNAcentral describes it as "partial 16S ribosomal RNA". It matches the Rfam family "Bacterial small subunit ribosomal RNA", at positions 524 to 776 of the family's 1533-position model. The record is from RNAcentral.